UCCGCUCAGAGCGAACGCUGGCGGCAGGCUUAACACAUGCAAGUCGAACGCAUCCUUCGGGAUGAGUGGCAGACGGGUGAGUAACACGUGGGAACGUGCCCUCCGGUCUGGGAUAACCCUGGGAAACUAGGGCUAAUACCGGAUACGUGCUUUGGCAGAAAGGUUUACUGCCGGAGGAUCGGCCCGCGUCUGAUUAGCUAGUUGGUGGGGUAACGGCCUACCAAGGCGACGAUCAGUAGCUGGUCUGAGAGGAUGAUCAGCCACACUGGGACUGAGACACGGCCCAGACUCCUACGGGAGGCAGCAGUGGGGAAUAUUGGACAAUGGGCGCAAGCCUGAUCCAGCCAUGCCGCGUGAGUGAUGACGGCCUUAGGGUUGUAAAGCUCUUUUCUCCGGGACGAUAAUGACGGUACCGGAGGAAUAAGCCCCGGCUAACUUCGUGCCAGCAGCCGCGGUAAUACGAAGGGGGCUAGCGUUGCUCGGAAUCACUGGGCGUAAAGGGCGCGUAGGCGGCGUUUUAAGUCGGGGGUGAAAGCCUGUGGCUCAACCACAGAAUGGCCUUCGAUACUGGGACGCUUGAGUCUGGUAGAGGUUGGUGGAACUGCGAGUGUAGAGGUGAAAUUCGUAGAUAUUCGCAAGAACACCCGGUGGCGAAGGCGGCCAACUGGACCAGUACUACGUUAGGCGCA
This 689-nucleotide ribosomal RNA is filed under the name Methylobacterium hispanicum. RNAcentral's name for it is "bacterial SSU rRNA". It matches the Rfam family "Bacterial small subunit ribosomal RNA", at positions 19 to 755 of the family's 1533-position model. Lineage: Bacteria; Pseudomonadati; Pseudomonadota; Alphaproteobacteria; Hyphomicrobiales; Methylobacteriaceae. The record is from RNAcentral.